GAGUCCGCGUCUCAUUAGCUAGACGGUGGGGUAACGGCCUACCGUGGCAACGAUGAAUAGCAGGCCUGAGAGGGUGGCCUGCCACACUGGGACUGGAACACGGCCCAGACUCCUACGGGAGGCAGCAGUGGGGAAUAUUGCGCAAUGGGCGAAAGUCUGACGCAGCGACGCCGCGUGGAGGAUGAAGGUUUUCGGAUCGUAAACUCCUGUCAAGAGGGAAGAAACCUGUUGAGAAUAAUACUCUCAGCAAUUGACGGUACCUCUAGAGGAAGCACCGGCUAAUUCAGUGCCAGCAGCCGCGGUAAUACUGAAGGUGCAAGCGUUAAUCGGAAUCACUGGGCGUAAAGCGCUCGUAGGUGGCUUUGUAAGCCAGAUGUGAAAGCCCAGGGCUCAACCCUGGAAUUGCAUUUGAUACUGCAUCGCUAGAGUAUAGGAGAGGGAAGUGGAAUUUCUGGUGUAGGAGUGAAAUCCGUAGAGAUCAGAAGGAACACCCGUGGCGAAGGCGACUUCCUGGACUAUUACUGACACUGAGGAGCGAAAGCGUGGGGAGCAAACAGGAUUAGAUACCCUGGUAGUCCACGCCGUAAACGAUGGAUACUAGGUGUCGGAG
This 610-nucleotide ribosomal RNA is filed under the name uncultured bacterium. RNAcentral's name for it is "bacterial SSU rRNA". It matches the Rfam family "Bacterial small subunit ribosomal RNA", at positions 227 to 828 of the family's 1533-position model. The record is from RNAcentral.